RNAcentral lists this transfer RNA (76 nucleotides) under Trichonephila inaurata madagascariensis. It matches the Rfam family "tRNA". From Rfam's summary of the family: Transfer RNA (tRNA) molecules are approximately 80 nucleotides in length. Their secondary structure includes four short double-helical elements and three loops (D, anti-codon, and T loops). The record is from Rfam by way of RNAcentral. Lineage: Eukaryota; Metazoa; Arthropoda; Arachnida; Araneae; Nephilidae.
AGUUCCGUAGUGUAGUGAAAGUUAUCACGUUCGCUUCACACGCGAAAGGCCCCCGGUUCGAUCCCGACGGAAACUA